Molecule: long non-coding RNA, 634 nt
Filed under: Mytilus galloprovincialis (Mediterranean mussel)
Lineage: Eukaryota; Metazoa; Mollusca; Bivalvia; Mytilida; Mytilidae
Source: RNAcentral
GGUUAACCAAUUCCAAGAAGCGUUUGGCCUUAGUGAUAUCAAGGAAUAUAACCUCCUUGGUGAUAUCUAAUUGAAUAAAAUGAUGUGUUACUAGAAUUUUGAGGUGUCCGUUUACUUGAAAUAUUGAGAGCUGUACACCAGUCGUCUUUAACUAAAAUAUUAUCCAAUCAAUCAAGUUGUGACGUCAACCUUCCGAGACAAAAUAAAUAUACCCACUGGUUCCCACCGACUUUGUUAGAUUAGAUCAUGAACUUCAUUAUUCUAUGACUAGGGAACAAAAAUCGAUCCAGUAAAAAAACCAUCGCAUUUCUCUAUACCCGUUUAAUUUUCAGUCCAACCAGAGCAAUGCCUGAAAACGUUUUUCUAUAUCAUUGACCAGUUCAAGACCCAAAACCAAAACAUGCGAUAAUACAAAAUUCCAUUUCAGAGUAAGUCACGAACAAUUCCGUAGAUUGACGACCGUAACUCCAAAAUACCCCUCGGAUUAACCAUCCGUCUAAAUAUCACCAGUACGAAAGUUUUCCCCAAUCUAAAGAAAUACUGCCCUGACGAGGUUUUUAAAAAUAUCCAAGUCUGGACAUUGAGUCUCAAGCACGAGAAAAACGAUCCCCGCGAAACUUGAAGUGACCGGACA